Molecule: unclassified non-coding RNA, 411 nt
Filed under: Hevea brasiliensis (rubber tree)
Lineage: Eukaryota; Viridiplantae; Streptophyta; Magnoliopsida; Malpighiales; Euphorbiaceae
Source: RNAcentral
AUUUUUUUCUCCUCAAAAACCCCUUUUUCCUAAAGCUUCCUCUCCCCUCUUCCCUCCUCCUUUUCUCUUCUCCGGUGAGAGGCCAAGACUAGCGUUAACGAGAAGAACGACGAAGCAGCUGACGCCGGUAGCCUCCAGCGACACUUGGCAGGCCGUGUAAAAGCUUAGAGACGCAAUAAAUGUGUUGGGCAGAGAGAGAGCGACAACGCGAUUUCUUUUAACCCAUCAGAUCUCCUCCAUCCGGCCACAACGGAGACAAGUGUUGGGUCCAACCAACUUGCCAGAGAAUAGCAAGCAUUGUUAAGUAUUAUCACUAUAAUGUUCUAUCCAAGAUUACAUAAUUAAAUACAUAUCAGAGAAAUAAAUUGAUCUUUGGCGCUUUUUGAUCAAAUGUCGUCCAAAUGAGAGUAA